GGAGGGAUGGUGUCAAUGGUCAACAUCGCGCUCUCCAAAAGCGCGGCUCCAGGUUCGAGUCCUGGUCCCUCUGCCA
RNAcentral lists this transfer RNA (76 nucleotides) under Phycisphaerae bacterium. RNAcentral's name for it is "tRNA-Trp". It matches the Rfam family "tRNA". Rfam says of the family: Transfer RNA (tRNA) molecules are approximately 80 nucleotides in length. Their secondary structure includes four short double-helical elements and three loops (D, anti-codon, and T loops). The record is from RNAcentral. RNAcentral also lists the same sequence under 1 other name. Lineage: Bacteria; Pseudomonadati; Planctomycetota; Phycisphaerae.